Molecule: long non-coding RNA, 1176 nt
Filed under: Equus asinus (donkey)
Lineage: Eukaryota; Metazoa; Chordata; Mammalia; Perissodactyla; Equidae
Description: lncRNA (ENSEASG00005030418.1)
Source: RNAcentral
AAAUCUAAGCUCCUGUGCCAAAUUCAUUUAAACUUUCCUAACCCAAUGCUAACUCAAGUCUUCCCUGGUGCCUCCUACCCAGACGCUACCCAAGAUCUAGCUCUGAGUUCCUGAUUUGUUUUCCACUACCUCUGGGGUCUAGUGGCUAAGACUCUGUGCUGUCACCACUGUGGCCCAGGUUCGUUUCCGGUCAGGGAACCACACCACCCGUCUGUGGGUUGUCAUAUGUGACAGCUAUGUGUUCCUGUGAUGGUAAGAGGCCUCUGUGAGACAAAACCAUAGUGGACAGGUUUAAGCAGAGCUCCAGACUAAGACAGACCAGGAAGAAGGACCUGACCACCCACUUCCAAAAAAAUUAGCCAUGAAAACCCCAUGAAUAGCGGCAGAGCACUGUCUGGUACCGCACCGGAAGGUGGGAGGAUGGCGCAAGGAGUCGGACUCGACUGGACAGCACUAAUAAAUGCAAAUCCCUUCCUCAGGUAGGGCUUCUCUGAUUCAUAAUACCAGACCACGUGGGAGCUGCGGCCUUUGCCUACGGCUUGUUCACAGAGGCUGAAGAGGGAAACUGUCUUUGAGAACAAGCCCCAACAACACCUGGAGCAGUGAGUAAACUAACCUGGAAACGCUGACCCGUGGCUUUCCUUGGUGAAAAUGUGCCUGGUUUAUCCCCUGGAGCCACUCCCACCACUAGCUGUUCUGCAUAUGAAUUUGGGACCAUGUUUUUCUUCACACUUGGCUGGGAGCCUGAUUAUCUGAACCAUAACUAGGAGACAUGGGCAUUCUGAACAUCAAGACAGAACUGCUGAUAGAAACGGCAGAGCCCUUGCUGUUGGUUUUCUAAGUGCAGCAAGUUUCUGUGAUCCCAGGGGGAGUCUGGUCUGCCUUGGGGGUCCCGCUGGGGACAGAGUGGGCUCUAACCUGGAGGCACCAACCUGAACCUGGCUGACACUUAAGCUGACAAAACUUCAGCAGAGACGCAGGAACCAUCACUUCAGAAGCGCCGGGGCCUUUGAACUGAGGCUAGGCGGCUGGCCUAGAAAGUGGAGCAGGCACGCAGGCAGUCCUAACGAGGCGGGCUGGGGGGUCAAAGCCUUAUUUGCGUUCAUUUCACUCAUUAUUAUGUGGCAUUAGGGAAAUUUUCGGCUGAGCAGAGUGCCCUUGACAUGUAACUUCCUG